RNAcentral lists this ribosomal RNA (492 nucleotides) under uncultured bacterium. RNAcentral describes it as "partial 16S ribosomal RNA". It matches the Rfam family "Bacterial small subunit ribosomal RNA", at positions 29 to 507 of the family's 1533-position model. The record is from RNAcentral.
AGUGAACGCUGGCGGUAGGCCUAACACAUGCCAGUCGAACGGCGGCACAGUAAGAGCUUGCUCUUACGGGUGGCGAGUGGCGGACGGGUGAGGAAUACAUCGGAAUCUACUUUUUCGUGGGGGAUAACGUAGGGAAACUUACGCUAAUACCGCAUACGACCUACGGGUGAAAGCAGGGGAUCUUCGGACCUUGCGCGAUUGAAUGAGCCGAUGUCGGAUUAGCUAGUUGGCGGGGUAAAGGCCCACCAAGGCGACGAUCCGUAGCUGGUCUGAGAGGAUGAUCAGCCACACUGGAACUGAGACACGGUCCAGACUCCUACGGGAGGCAGCAGUGGGGAAUAUUGGACAAUGGGCGCAAGCCUGAUCCAGCCAUACCGCGUGGGUGAAGAAGGCCUUCGGGUUGUAAAGCCCUUUUGUUGGGAAAGAAAAGCAGCAGGUUAAUACCCCGCUGCUCUGACGGUACCCAAAGAAUAAGCACCGGCUAACUUCGUG